UACGGAGGGUGCAAGCGUUAAUCGGAAUUACUGGGCGUAAAGCGUGCGUAGGUGGUUCGUUAAGUCCGUUGUGAAAGCCCCGAGCUCAACUUGGGAAUUGCAGUGGAUACUGGCGAGCUGGAGUGCGGUAGAGGAAGGUGGAAUUCCCGGUGUAGCGGUGAAAUGCGUAGAGAUCGGGAGGAACACCAGUGGCGAAGGCGGCCUCUGGACCAGCACUGACACUCAAGCACGAAAGCGUGGGAGGCAAACAGGG
Molecule: ribosomal RNA, 253 nt
Filed under: uncultured bacterium
Lineage: Bacteria
Description: partial 16S ribosomal RNA
Rfam family: Bacterial small subunit ribosomal RNA
Source: RNAcentral